AUGCUCCUCAGAAUGGGUCCCCGUUUGUUUCUGCACGACGUUAACUCUCCACAUCUGUGUCUUUCCUUGCUGUUAUUUGGAAAAUUUCUUCAGGGACUUUUACGUUUUCAGACAGGAGGAAGCAGAGGGGAGAAGAAUUCUUCACCAGGGGAGUUGAUGAGAAUGCUGGCAUUUCAGGCGUUGUGGUGGCUGGAAGCUUCUCUGGCAGAGGCACUGGAGUGUGAGGCCCGUCCAGCAGAGGAAUUCUGCUUGUCCUCACCUGACCUGCAGCAGGUGAGGGGCAGUGAAAAGGCGAAAGUGGAACACGAGAGGACGCUCCAGAGCCUCGUUUCUCUCAUAAGGACGACACUCAAGGGGCACCUGGGUGACUCAGUGGUUGAGCAUCUGGCUCAGGUUGUGAUCCCCCGGGGUCCUGGGAUGGAGUCCCCCAUCGGGCUCCCUGCAAGGAGUCCGCUUCUCCCUCUGCCUGUCUUUCAUGAAUAAAUAAACAGACAAACAAACAAACUUAAAAAAAAAAAAAAAAAAAGGAUGACACUCACUGGCUUGUGAAUUUGGAAAAUGAGGCCGGCAGGAGGAAAUAAAGCUGAAUCUGCUGGAGGCA
Molecule: long non-coding RNA, 601 nt
Filed under: Vulpes vulpes (red fox)
Lineage: Eukaryota; Metazoa; Chordata; Mammalia; Carnivora; Canidae
Description: lncRNA (ENSVVUG00000004584.1)
Source: RNAcentral